Molecule: ribosomal RNA, 437 nt
Rfam family: Bacterial small subunit ribosomal RNA
ACGGGAGGCAGCAGUGGGGAAUAUUGGGCAAUGGGGGAAACCCUGACCUAGCAACGCCGCGUGAAGGAAGAAGGCUUUCGGGUUGUAAACUUCUUUUACCAGGGACGAAGGAUGUGACGGUACCUGGAGAAAAAGCCACGGCUAACUACGUGCCAGCAGCCGCGGUAAUACGUAGGUGGCAAGCGUUGUCCGGAUUUACUGGGUGUAAAGGGCGUGUAGGCGGAGAUGCAAGUCAGAAGUGCAAUCUAUGGGCUCAACCCAUAAACUGCUUUUGAAACUGUAUCCCUUGAGUAUCGGAGAGGCAGGCGGAAUUCCCAGUGUAGCGGUGAAAUGCGUAGAUAUUGGGAGGAACACCAGUGGCGAAGGCGGCCUGCUGGACGACAACUGACGCUGAGGCGCGAAAGCGUGGGUAGCAAACAGGAUUAGAUACCCUGGUA